UCCUACGGGGGGCAGCAGUGAGGAAUAUUGGUCAAUGGGCUUACGCCUGAACCAGCCAAGUCGCGUGAGGGAAGACUGCCCUAUGGGUUGUAAACCUCUUUUGUCAGGGAGCAACGCCAGCUACGUGUAGCCGGACUGAGAGUACCUGAAGAAAAAGCAUCGGCUAACUCCGUGCCAGCAGCCGCGGUAAUACGGAGGAUGCGAGCGUUAUCCGGAUUUAUUGGGUUUAAAGGGUGCGUAGGCGGAAUGCCAAGUCAGCGGUAAAAUCGCGGGGCUCAACCUCGCUCCGCCGUUGAAACUGGCGU
RNAcentral lists this ribosomal RNA (305 nucleotides) under uncultured bacterium. RNAcentral describes it as "bacterial SSU rRNA". It matches the Rfam family "Bacterial small subunit ribosomal RNA", at positions 337 to 639 of the family's 1533-position model. The record is from RNAcentral.